CUGGUGGCGAGUGGAACGGGUGAGUAAUAUAUCGGAACAUACCCAGUAUGGGGGAUAACUAUCCGAAAGGAUAGCUAAUACCGCAUACGAUCUGUGGAUGAAAGCAGGGGAUCUUCGGACCUUGUGCUAUUGGAAUGGCCGAUAUCUGAUUAGCUAGUUGGUAGGGUAAAAGCCUACCAAGGCGACGAUCAGUAGCUGGUCUGAGAGGACGACCAGCCACACUGGAACUGAGACACGGUCCAGACUCCUACGGGAGGCAGCAGUGGGGAAUUUUGGGCAAUGGGGGCAACCCCUGAUCCAGCAAUGCCGCGUGAGUGAAGAAGGCCCUCGGGUUGUAAAGCUCUUUUGUCAGGGAAGAAACGGAGUUCUCUAAUAUAGGAUUCUAAUGACGGUACCUGAAGAAUAAGCACCGGCUAACUACGUGCCAGCAGCCGCGGUAAUACGUAGGGUGCAAGCGUUAAUCGGAAUUACUGGGCGUAAAGCGUGCGCAGGCGGUUUUGUAAGUCUGAUGUGAAAUCCCCGGGCUCAACCUGGGAACUGCAUUGGAGACUGCAAGGCUAGAGUGUGUCAGAGGGGGGUAGAAUUCCACGUGUAGCAGUGAAAUGCGUAGAGAUGUGGAGGAAUACCGAUGGCGAAGGC
This 639-nucleotide ribosomal RNA is filed under the name uncultured beta proteobacterium. RNAcentral describes it as "bacterial SSU rRNA". It matches the Rfam family "Bacterial small subunit ribosomal RNA", at positions 87 to 722 of the family's 1533-position model. The record is from RNAcentral. Lineage: Bacteria; Pseudomonadati; Pseudomonadota; Betaproteobacteria.